RNAcentral lists this ribosomal RNA (106 nucleotides) under uncultured bacterium. RNAcentral's name for it is "partial 16S small subunit ribosomal RNA". It matches the Rfam family "Bacterial small subunit ribosomal RNA", at positions 335 to 440 of the family's 1533-position model. The record is from RNAcentral.
ACUCCUACGGGAGGCAGCAGUGGGGAAUUUUGCGCAAUGGGGGAAACCCUGAAGCAGCAACGCCGCGUGGAGGAUGAAGUCCCUUGGGAUGUAAACUCCUUUUGAU